GACGAACGCUGGCGGCGUGCUUAACACAUGCAAGUCGAACGAUGAAGAAAAGAAUCGAUGCUUCGGCAGAAAGUCAUUUCUGAUUAGUUGCAGACGGGGGAGUAACGCGUGAGCAACCUACCUCUUACAAAGGGAUAGCCUCGGGAAACCGGGAGUAAUACCAUAUAACAUUGCGACUAAGCAUUUCGAUGCAGUCAAAGCUACGGCGGUAAGAGAUGGGCUCGCGUCCCAUUAACCGGAUGGUGAGGUAACGGCUCACCAUAGUGACGAUGGGUAACCGGCCUGAGAGGGUGAACGGUCACACUGGAACUGAGACACGGUCCAGACUCCUACGGGAGGCAGCAGUGGGGAAUAUUGCACAAUGGAGGGAACUCUGAUGCAGCGACGCCGCGUGAGUGAUGAAGGAAUUCGUUACGUAAAGCUCUGUUCUAUGGGAAGAAAAGGACGGUACCAGAGGAGAAAGCUCCGGCUAAAUACGUG
This 480-nucleotide ribosomal RNA is filed under the name uncultured bacterium. RNAcentral describes it as "partial 16S ribosomal RNA". It matches the Rfam family "Bacterial small subunit ribosomal RNA", at positions 28 to 507 of the family's 1533-position model. The record is from RNAcentral.